Molecule: microRNA precursor, 103 nt
Filed under: Caenorhabditis japonica
Lineage: Eukaryota; Metazoa; Nematoda; Chromadorea; Rhabditida; Rhabditidae
Description: pre miRNA CJA48638
Source: RNAcentral
AUUCAAGCUUCCAUUACGAUUAGCGCUAUCCAGCCGAAGUAUUCUAGAAAAGAUUCGAGUACACGUGCACGGAUAGUGCUCAUUGUUUUUGGAGAGCAGGAAA